GCUAGUUUGGCGUCUCCAAGCUAUGAUGGAGACGCGGCGCACAGCUCAGUAACACGUGGCCAACCUGCCCUUAGGACAAGUAUAACCCCGGGAAACUGGGGAUAAUCCUUGAUAGGUGAGGAAUUCUGGAAUGAGUCUUCGCUUAAAGGACGUGCAGAUCACGCUUCUGUGCGUUGCCUAAGGAUGGGGCCGCGGCCGAUCAGGUUGUUGGUGAGGUAAUGGCUCACCAAGCCUAUAACCGGUACGGGCCGUGAAAGCGGAAGCCCGGAGAUGGGCACUGGGACAAGGGCCCAGGCCCUACGGGGCGCAGCAGUCGCGAAAACUCCGCAAUACGCGAAAGCGUGACGGGGCUAUCCCGAGUGCUAUUCGAUAAGAGUAGCUUUUCCUCAGUGUAAAGUGCUGGGGGAAUAAGGAGGGGGCAAGACUGGUGUCAGCCGCCGCGGUAAUACCAGCUCUCCGAGUGCUAAGGACGUUUAUUGGGCCUAAAGCAUCCGUAGCUUGCUGAGUAUGUCCUCCGUUAAAUCCAACGAUUUAAUCGUUGGGCUGCGGGGGAUACUGCUUAGCUAGGAGGCGGGAGAGGCCGACGGUAUUUCCGGGGUAGGGGUGAAAUCCUAUAAUCCCGGGACGACCACCAGUGGCGAAGGCUGUCGGCUAGAACGCGCUCGACGGUGAGGGAUGAAAGCUGGGGGAGCAAACCGGAUUAGAUACCCGGGUAGUCCCAGCUGUAAACGAUGCAGGCUAGGUGUUGGUGUGGCUACGAGCCGCUCCAGUG
This 772-nucleotide ribosomal RNA is filed under the name uncultured archaeon. Its description in RNAcentral is "bacterial SSU rRNA". It matches the Rfam family "Archaeal small subunit ribosomal RNA", at positions 53 to 800 of the family's 1478-position model. The record is from RNAcentral.